RNAcentral lists this ribosomal RNA (449 nucleotides) under uncultured organism. RNAcentral's name for it is "partial 16S ribosomal RNA". It matches the Rfam family "Bacterial small subunit ribosomal RNA", at positions 331 to 797 of the family's 1533-position model. The record is from RNAcentral.
GUACACUCCUACGGGAGGCAGCAGUGGGGAAUAUUGGACAAUGGGCGCAAGCCUGAUCCAGCCAUGCCGCGUGAGUGAUGAAGGCCCUAGGGUUGUAAAGCUCUUUCACCGGUGAAGAUAAUGACGGUAACCGGAGAAGAAGCCCCGGCUAACUUCGUGCCAGCAGCCGCGGUAAUACGAAGGGGGCUAGCGUUGUUCGGAUUUACUGGGCGUAAAGCGCACGUAGGCGGACUAUUAAGUCAGGGGUGAAAUCCCGGGGCUCAACCCCGGAACUGCCUUUGAUACUGGUAGUCUUGAGUUCGAGAGAGGUGAGUGGAAUUCCGAGUGUAGAGGUGAAAGUCGUAGAUAUUCGGAGGAACACCAGUGGCGAAGGCGGCUCACUGGCUCGAUACUGACGCUGAGGUGCGAAAGCGUGGGGAGCAAACAGGAUUAGAAACCCUAGUAGUCCC